This 731-nucleotide ribosomal RNA is filed under the name uncultured crenarchaeote. RNAcentral's name for it is "bacterial SSU rRNA". It matches the Rfam family "Archaeal small subunit ribosomal RNA", at positions 1 to 713 of the family's 1478-position model. Lineage: Archaea; Thermoproteati; Thermoproteota. The record is from RNAcentral.
UUCCGGUUGAUCCUGCCGGACCCCAUUGCUAUCGGGAUAGGACUAAGACAUGCUAGUUGAGCGCUUCAGCCAAAACGAGGCGCGGCGUACAGCUCAGUAACACGUGGCUAAUCUGCCCUUAGGACAGGAACAACCCCGGGAAACUGGGGCUAAUUCUUGAUAUGUGAAGAACUCUGGAAUGAGUCUUCGCUUAAAAGACUUCACGUUAUGCUCGUGAUGUUGCCUAAGGAUGAGGCCGCGACCGAUCAGGUUGUUGGUGAGGUAAUGGCUCACCAAGCCUUUUACCGGUGCGGGCCGUGAGAGCGGGAGCCCGGAGAUGGGCACUGAGACAAGGGCCCAGGCCCUACGGGGCGCAGCAGUCGCGAAAACUUUGCAAUACACGAAAGUGUGACAGGGCUAUCCCGAGUGCCUUCCGCUGAGGGAGGCUUUUACCUAGUAUAGAUCGCUAGGGGAAUAAGGAGAGGGCAAGUCUGGUGUCAGCCGCCGCGGUAAUACCAGCUCUCCGAGUGGUGUGGAUGUUUAUUGGGCCUAAAGCAUCCGUAGCUGGCUAGGUCAGUCCUUUGUUAAAUCCACCGAAUUAAUCGUUGGUUUGCGGGGGAUACUGCUUGGCUAGGGGACGAGAGAGGCAGACGGUAUUUCCGGGGUAGGAGUGAAAUCCUAUAAUCCCGGGAAGACCACCAGUGGCGAAGGCUGUCUGCUAGAACGCGCUCGACGGUGAGGGAUGAAAGCUG